This 312-nucleotide ribosomal RNA is filed under the name uncultured bacterium. Its description in RNAcentral is "bacterial SSU rRNA". It matches the Rfam family "Bacterial small subunit ribosomal RNA", at positions 28 to 334 of the family's 1533-position model. The record is from RNAcentral.
GAUGAACGCUAGCUACAGGCUUAACACAUGCAAGUCGAGGGGCAUCAGGAUGGUAGCAAUACAUUGCUGGCGACCGGCGCACGGGUGAGUAACACGUAUCCAACCUGCCUCAUACUCGGGGAUAGCCUUGCGAAAGUAAGAUUAAUACCCGGCGGUCUCGGAUGGCCGCAUGACUGUCCGAGUGAAGAUUUAUCGGUAUGAGAUGGCGAUGCGUCCCAUUAGCUUGUUGGUGAGGUAAUGGCUCACCAAGGCAUCGAUGGGUAGGGGUUCUGAGAGGAAGGUCCCCCACAUUGGAACUGAGACACGGUCCAA